Molecule: non-coding RNA, 1234 nt
Organism: Phasianus colchicus (ring-necked pheasant)
Lineage: Eukaryota; Metazoa; Chordata; Aves; Galliformes; Phasianidae
Source: RefSeq, a predicted model, not a curated record
AUUACACCUACUGUGUGAGGCCGAAGCCCGGACAUAGAAGAAGGGUCAUAUCCUGCUGUACAAAACAAAGUGUUAAAGAUAAGAGCUUACUGUUAGCAUCAGUCACCAACCUGAAGACAGACAACUCCAACCUCCCAUCACAGAGGAAAAACUUCUGUGGAGGACAGCUGCAGCGGGACACUCAGGGAGGCUGAGCUUUCUCCGUUCAUCUUCUUUUUUUUAAAGGUUAAGAAAAUAUCUCCUGCAGUCUUGCAGACAGAAAUCCUCUUAAGUCAUUCACACACUUCUCAUUCUUGCUUGAUUUCUGGAAUUUUCCACUGGUGCCAGAAGCUCCAUCUGGUGGGUGUGUACACUAACUGCAUAACUAAAAGGGAAUUAACUAUUUCCUUAGCAAUUUCUGCAUAGCAGUGUAAGUUUGUACAUUGUGUAAUUUCUCCGAUGCAAUGUAAAAUACAAGACAGACAAAUUCUGGCUGCUCCAGGAACCAUAAUCCCUUUUUUCUUCAUGAACAACCCGUUACCUUGCACUCUACUGACAAUUUCUGCUUGGUUUUCUUAUUUUGAUAACACAGGUUGAUGGUUUUUAAAAAUAAGCGUUAGCCAACUCAGAAUAUUUUCUGAAGAAAAAGCUUUUGAAAACACACACAAGAAAAGCAAUUCUGGUGAUCUCGACUGCAUUCUCAAAAGCAGCUUUACAUUGCAUCCAUUCUCUAGGGCAUUCUAUACUUCAGUGCAUAGGUAAUUUUUAAUUAGAGGCACCAGCAGCUCAAGAAGUAGGCUUCCUCACCUACUGCCAUCUUUAAUAUCUUUCAUUGCUGUUCACAGUCUUCAAACAUAAACAUUUAUAUGCGUCCAUAUAUGUGUAAUGAAAUCAAUAUGUAAUACACAUGCUCAGUACAAUAGCCUUGUUAGUUUAGGGCUAUUUCUUAAAGAUUUGUUUGAAAGGCACUAAAGCCUGCCUACCUUACAGCAAUUUGAAAUUGAGACUGGAGGUCAAUGAAGCACGAAGGAUAUUAUCUGCCUACACCAUGAUAUCCACACUUCAGCAGGCAGGAAAAAAAGGCCACAUGAAUAUGCUUUACCAGUUCAAAAUGUGAUCUUCGUGUGGAUUGUAGCUAAGCACGAACAACCCCAUAUCGAAAAUUUUGGAAACAGAAGCAUGUUUCAUUUAGAUUUUCAAUCUAAAGCUCAAAAAAAAAAAGUAAAAUGUUCAAAAAUAAAGCAUGCAAUUAAUA